UAGAAUGAAAAUUUCUAACUAUAGCAUUGAC
This 31-nucleotide non-coding RNA is filed under the name Rattus norvegicus (Norway rat). Lineage: Eukaryota; Metazoa; Chordata; Mammalia; Rodentia; Muridae. The record is from RNAcentral.